RNAcentral lists this ribosomal RNA (529 nucleotides) under Curvularia crepinii. RNAcentral describes it as "eukaryotic LSU rRNA". The stretch from base 168 to 321 matches the Rfam family "5.8S ribosomal RNA". Lineage: Eukaryota; Fungi; Ascomycota; Dothideomycetes; Pleosporales; Pleosporaceae. The record is from RNAcentral.
CGCGGCUGUGCUCUCGGGCCAGUUUUGCGGAGGCUGAAUUAUUUAUUACCCUUGUCUUUUGCGCACUUGUUGUUUCCUGGGCGGGUUCGCCCGCCACCAGGACCACAUCAUAAACCUUUUUUAUGCAGUUGCAAUCAGCGUCAGUAUAACAAAUGUAAAUCAUUUACAACUUUCAACAACGGAUCUCUUGGUUCUGGCAUCGAUGAAGAACGCAGCGAAAUGCGAUACGUAGUGUGAAUUGCAGAAUUCAGUGAAUCAUCGAAUCUUUGAACGCACAUUGCGCCCUUUGGUAUUCCAAAGGGCAUGCCUGUUCGAGCGUCAUUUGUACCCUCAAGCUUUGCUUGGUGUUGGGCGUUUUUUGUCUUUGGUUGCCAAAGACUCGCCUUAAAAGGAUUGGCAGCCGGCCUACUGGUUUCGCAGCGCAGCACAUUUUUGCGCUUGCAAUCAGCAAAAGAGGACGGCAAUCCAUCAAGACUCCUUCUCACGUUUGACCUCGGAUCAGGUAGGGAUACCCGCUGAACUUAAGCAU